Molecule: long non-coding RNA, 709 nt
Filed under: Rattus norvegicus (Norway rat)
Lineage: Eukaryota; Metazoa; Chordata; Mammalia; Rodentia; Muridae
Description: long non-coding RNA NONRATT009167
Source: RNAcentral
CCAGCUGGCUUGUGGUACCUGGUAGGAUCUAUGGUCUUCCAUCAUGGGCCUGUGGCUUCAUAGCUGAGAGUAUAGGAAUGGUCCCUUGACAUAUGUCACAGUGGAUAUGGCCCUGACAUCUGUGCUUGAGCUCCAAGCAGCCACAGUGGUAUUCUUAUGAGAAAGGAUAUCCUGAGGGGACAGUAAUGAGGUGGAGAUAAGUAUGUGGACUGCUUAGCCUUAGAGGGACUGGCUAUGGCUAUGGCUUAGCAGGCUUGGAAUCUGAGGCUGGACACUGUUUACCAGUUCCAAUGUGGGACCUUUGAUAUAAUUCAGUCCUCUACCUCUCAGCACACGAAGCUGCCUCCUGACUGCUGCCCUCUCCUCGUGUUUGUGAACCCCAAGAGUGGGGGCCUCAAGGGACGAGAACUGCUCUGCAGUUUCCGGAAGCUGCUGAAUCCACACCAGGUCUUUGAGCUCACCAACGGGGGCCCUCUUCCUGGGUGCCCUGCUUUCGGGUACUGGUCUGUGGUGGAGAUGGCACCGUGGGCUGGGUGCUCGCUGCCCUGGAGGAGACAAGGCGCCAUCUGGCCUGCCCAGAGCCAUCUGUGGCCAUCCUACCCCUGGGUACAGGGAAUGACCUUGGCCGGGUCCUCCGUUGGGGAGCAGGCUAUAGUGGUGAGGACCCAUUUUCUGUGCUGGUGUCUGUGGAUGAGGCUGAUGCUGUGCU